Molecule: ribosomal RNA, 497 nt
Filed under: uncultured bacterium
Lineage: Bacteria
Description: bacterial SSU rRNA
Rfam family: Bacterial small subunit ribosomal RNA
Source: RNAcentral
GAUGAACGCUAGCGGCAGGCUUAACACAUGCAAGUCGAGGGGCAGCACGUCUUCGGAUGGUGGCGACCGGCGCACGGGUGCGUAACGCGUAUAGAACCUACCUUUUACAGGGGAAUAGCCCAGAGAAAUUUGGAUUAAUGCCCCAUAGUAUUAUUGAAUGGCAUCAUUUAAUAAUUAAACAUUUAUGGGUAAAAGAUGGCUAUGCGUUCUAUUAGCUAGUAGGUAAGGUAACGGCUUACCUAGGCAACGAUAGAUAGGGGUCCUGAGAGGGAGAUCCCCCCACACUGGUACUGAGACACGGACCAGACUCCUACGGGAGGCAGCAGUGAGGAAUAUUGGACAAUGGGCGAGAGCCUGAUCCAGCCAUGCCGCGUGCAGGAAGACGGUCCUAUGGAUUGUAAACUGCUUUUAUACAGGAAGAAACACUCGGACGUGUCCGAGCUUGACGGUACUGUAUGAAUAAGCACCGGCUAACUCCGUGCCAGCAGCCGCGGUAA